Nycticebus coucang (slow loris) is the source of this 800-nucleotide long non-coding RNA. RefSeq lists it as uncharacterized. The transcript has 5 exons. Lineage: Eukaryota; Metazoa; Chordata; Mammalia; Primates; Lorisidae. The record is from RefSeq and is a predicted model, not a curated record.
UAAGAACUCAGCCAACACUGGGGAGCAGCAGACGCAGGAGGAGGCGCUUGGAUCGGGGCCUCAGCACCUGCAGUUCGGGAGACACAGGUCACUAGCCAGGAGCCGAGUCACAUUCCCUAUAGAAUUUCCUAUAACUGGAGCUCACAGUGUGUGGACCCAAGCUAAUCUGAAGAAAGAGACAUCAGAGGUUACUCACUGGUGUGCACUGGGCUGUGAUGAGAAGGACAGCGAGCAGAAGCACCACCUUCAUCUUUCCCUGCUCAACCUACAAGCAGAACAAGAGCAAUGGAGAAAGCAUUGACCUUAUGCUCAAGCCCCAGGGGCCAGUUACCAGUGGACAAGACUUGCUUUAUCCCGGGCGUGCCAGCUACACAGCUAUCUCCGGGGAUGAAGGGCUGGAGGGUCAAGCUACAACAUCAUGCCCCUUGACAACAUUAUGCAGGACGGGAAGGAGCCAGGCCCAGAAGAGCACCAUUGUCUGCUCCUGUGUACAUGAAUAUUCAGAAGAAGCAAACCCCUAAGGCAGAAGGUAAUGGCAGCUAGUAAGAACUCAGCCAACACUGGGGAGCAGCAGACGCAGGAGGACGCGCUUGGAUCGGGGCCUCAGCACCUGCAGUUCGGGAGACACAGGUCACUAGCCAGGAGCCGAGUCACAUUCCCUACAGAAUUUCCUAUAACUGGAGCUCACAGUGUGUGGACCCAAGCUAAUCUGAAGAAAGAGACAUCAGAGGUUACUCACUGGUGUGCACUGGGCUGUGAUGAGAAGGACAGCGAGCAGAAGCACCACCUUCAUCUUUCCC